Molecule: long non-coding RNA, 298 nt
Filed under: Elaeis guineensis (African oil palm)
Lineage: Eukaryota; Viridiplantae; Streptophyta; Magnoliopsida; Arecales; Arecaceae
Description: long non-coding RNA (EGUI_LNC058424)
Source: RNAcentral
GCAAGACGGUGUUGAAUGUUAGAAUUUUGUUGGCAUCGAUCACACUGUUUGGUCAUGUCGGGUACAUCCUGUAGCAUGGUGGGUUAGUAAUAUCUCUACCGAAGUACUUUGUAGGCCAGCGAUCUGUCCUCAGAUGAUUUUUGCAAAUCCUCUUGUGCACCUCUCAUAAGGCAUAGUCAGUCUUGGAGAGACGUAAACACUUGAGUGGUAGAGAAAAGGACCUCGUAUAUAACUUGCCUUCAUAGAGAAUGUAGCAGGAUGCCCGGUUUCUGAGUUUUUGGGCUUCUUUUGGAUCCGA